RNAcentral lists this ribosomal RNA (253 nucleotides) under uncultured bacterium. RNAcentral's name for it is "partial 16S ribosomal RNA". It matches the Rfam family "Bacterial small subunit ribosomal RNA", at positions 524 to 776 of the family's 1533-position model. The record is from RNAcentral.
CACGUAGGGCGCAAGCGUUGUCCGGAAUUAUUGGGCGUAAAGAGCGUGUAGGCGGUUAUACAGGUCCGCUGUGAAAACUGGAGGCUUAACCUCCAGACGUCGGUGGAAACCGUAUGACUAGAGUCCGGAAGAGGAGAGUGGAAUUCCUGGUGUAGCGGUGAAAUGCGCAGAUAUCAGGAAGAACACCCGUGGCGAAGGCGGCUCUCUGGGACGGUACUGACGCUGAGACGCGAAAGCGUGGGGAGCGAACAGG